UGUCGCACAUACCCGCACAACCACCGCCAUAUUGCUUUUGUUCGUUACUGUUAUAAUAGUCUGUUGUCUUCGUUUCGUUAUUUUUUUUUUUUUGCACUACCGUGUACACUACCUUUACUGUUCUUUUCGUCGGCUCUUUUUACGAAAACAAAAUACAGCUACAACAGCCACCCGAAAUUGUGCUGUGGUGUUUCGUUCUGCCAGUGUUAACCAGCAUCACCCACCAGCACCCGUAGCAAUACGUGGCCCGAGCAACCAACCAUCACUUCCGUGUCACAGUGAUAGGUAGCUGUGUAAAGACCACAUCAAAAACAAGUCACAGCGUUCUAUUUUAACAAUGAUUUAUGAACCGAUUGAAUUUUAUCAGAGCGGUAAAGUCAUAUUACCCCCGGAACCAACGAACGUAGAUCCCUGCUUUAACGGGUUUCGAUCUGGGUGUACUCCCGAGAAAAUAAUUAAUAAAAAAAUAAUAAAUGGUACGUAUUACGUUUUAGUCAAGUGGAGAAACAGAGAUGAUCCGUCAUACGUAAGGUAUAAUGAAGCAAGAAAAAAGUGCAGUCAUUUGCUUAUUCAAUUUUAUGAAAAACACACCGUUUUUUACAAACGGGCCAGUAAUUAAAUGAUGGCUGUAAAUUGAUAGAGAAGUUUCGAAGUUAUCUUCAAUACCCGAAAACUAUCUAUUAUCAUGAUGUAUCAUUUCAGUUUAUUUUUAUUUUCUGACCUAUAAUCAUUUUUUUUUUUUGUAUUAAAUAUUAU
Molecule: long non-coding RNA, 756 nt
Filed under: Rhopalosiphum maidis (corn leaf aphid)
Lineage: Eukaryota; Metazoa; Arthropoda; Insecta; Hemiptera; Aphididae
Description: uncharacterized LOC114253685
Source: RNAcentral